GAGUUUGAUCCUGGCUCAGAUUGAACGCUGGCGGCAGGCCUAACACAUGCAAGUCGAGCGGCAGCGGGAAAGUARCUUGCUACUUUWGCCGGCGAGCGGCGGACGGGUGAGUAAUGCCUGGGAAAUUGCCCAGUCGAGGGGGAUAACAGUUGGAAACGACUGSUAAUACCGCAUMCGCCYUAYGGGGGAAAGCAGGGGACCUUCGGGCCUUGCGCGAUYGGAUAUGCCCAGGUGGGAUUAGCUUGUUGGUGAGGUAAUGGCUCACCAWGGCGACGAUCCCUAGSUGGUYUGAGAGGAUGAUCAGCCACACYGGAACUGAGACACGGUCCAGAYUCCUACGGGAGGCAGCAGUGGGGAAUAUUGCACAAUGGGGGAAACCCUKAUGCAGCCMYGCCGCGUGUGUGAAGAAGGCCUUCGG
This 418-nucleotide ribosomal RNA is filed under the name Aeromonas sp. Lw2-4. Its description in RNAcentral is "partial 16S ribosomal RNA". It matches the Rfam family "Bacterial small subunit ribosomal RNA", at positions 9 to 421 of the family's 1533-position model. The record is from RNAcentral. Lineage: Bacteria; Pseudomonadati; Pseudomonadota; Gammaproteobacteria; Aeromonadales; Aeromonadaceae.